RNAcentral lists this long non-coding RNA (1100 nucleotides) under Dromaius novaehollandiae (emu). RNAcentral describes it as "lncRNA (ENSDNVG00000003759.1)". Lineage: Eukaryota; Metazoa; Chordata; Aves; Casuariiformes; Dromaiidae. The record is from RNAcentral.
UUAUUUCCUUCAUCGUUGCAGAUAGCUUCUGGUGGCUGCUUCUUGACCAAGUGCAGAGCAGCUAAUACUUGUUUGCAAACAGUAGUCCCAAAACAAGACUGAAAGAGCACCCACAGACAACCCAAAGGCUAUUCUGCUGCCGCCAAGGUGGUCUGGGUGAUGGCUGCUUUACCUUAGCUUUCGAGUCUUGCCUGCCAUGUCCUGCUGGCCUGCUGCUGAGCCAGAGAAAUGCACUGUGACUGCCUAAACCAGCAAUUGAGAAAUUACAGCGAAAAGGCCGAACUACUGCAAAUCCUGGAAGGCUCCAUUCUGCUGGGAAAAAGACUGUCGCUCCUGCAGGCAGGCAGGACUGAAGGACUUUUUGGAGGUACAACCCUCAAAACUAGGCUUCAGAAAGACAAGCUAAGAUCUCUGGAUUUUCCUGAACGAUAAGACAGAACUGCAAGAAAGUUCUUCUUCUCUGAUCACUCAAAGAGAAAGAAGUCAUCUAAGCUAAGGGACUGCUGCUUGCUUGGGAGAUUCAGUACUGAGAUCCCACGUAAAUCCUGUUAAUUAAASCUCUGCCAUGCCAAAAUGGGCUGUCAUCUAGUCCCUCUGGAAGGUGGAAGGGUUACUGCUAAAUCCUGCCUGGGAGUUGCAGUUGGAAUACAAGUAGUGCCUCUGCUAGCAUUAGCUGGUAAUCAAAAAGCAGGUGUGACUCUUGUAACUAGUGCAGAGCACGCAUAGGCAGUGCAGGAAGCAAGACCCACGCUGAGUUUUGGUAAGUCACGUGUGAUCUGGAUGUGGCCCACAGACCAAACUUGGCAUUCAUAGCACUAGAGUGCAAAGAAGCUGACAUCAAAAGCGACCAUGCUUCUUAUACCAGCAGACUAAAAAGUACAUUUAAAGAAACAAAACGUCAGACAGUACAAAGAGCAAACAGCUAAUAGGGUAGGCGUUAUCACAACAACUUCAAAUUGUAGCAGAGAGCAGAGCUCCAGUUUUUGAAAACUGGACUUGCAUGAGCACAAUCUGAUCCCUUUUGGUGCUGCCAGGUGAGAAUCAUCACUAUACUAAUGGCUCGGGUUUUUUCAAAUGAAUAAAUAUUAAAAUCUGUGUCA